Molecule: ribosomal RNA, 643 nt
Filed under: uncultured bacterium
Lineage: Bacteria
Description: bacterial SSU rRNA
Rfam family: Bacterial small subunit ribosomal RNA
Source: RNAcentral
UUGAUCAUGGCUCAGGACGAACGCUGGCGGCGUGCUUAACACAUGCAAGUCACGGGGGCCCGCAAGGGUAACCGGCGAACGGGUGCGUAACACGUAAGCGACCUGCCGAUCUGCGGGGGAUAGCCGGCCCAACGGCCGGGUAAUACCGCAUACGCUCUCUGGGUUACAUGGCUUGGGGAGGAAACCUCCGGGGCGGAUCGAGGGGCUUGCGGCCUAUCAGCUAGUUGGUGAGGUAACGGCUCACCAAGGCGGUGACGGGUAGCUGGUCUGAGAGGAUGGCCAGCCACAUUGGGACUGAGAGACGGCCCAGACUCCUACGGGAGGCAGCAGUGGGGAAUCUUGCGCAAUGGGCGAAAGCCUGACGCAGCGACGCCGCGUGGGGGAUGACGCAUUUCGGUGUGUAAACCCCUGUUGCCCGGGACGAAUCGCCUUUUUUGAGAGGCUUGACGGUACCGGGUGAGGAAGCACCGGCUAACUCUGUGCCAGCAGCCGCGGUAAUACAGAGGGUGCGAGCGUUGUCCGGAAUCACUGGGCGUAAAGGGCGCGUAGGUGGUCCGAUAAGAGGGCGGUGAAAGCCCGGCGCUUAACGCCGGGUCGGCCGUGCCGACUGUCGGACUGGAGCACUGUAGAGGCAGGUAGAAUU